This 486-nucleotide ribosomal RNA is filed under the name uncultured bacterium. RNAcentral describes it as "partial 16S ribosomal RNA". It matches the Rfam family "Bacterial small subunit ribosomal RNA", at positions 30 to 507 of the family's 1533-position model. The record is from RNAcentral.
AUUGAACGCUGGCGGCAUGCCUUACACAUGCAAGUCGAACGGCAGCACGGGUGCUUGCACCUGGUGGCGAGUGGCGAACGGGUGAGUAAUACAUCGGAACAUGUCCUGUAGUUGGGGAUAGCCCGUCGAAAGCCGGAUUAAUACCGCAUACGAUCUACGGAUGAAAGCGGGGGACCUUCGGGCCUCGCGCUAUAGGGUUUUCCGAUGGCUGAUUAGCUAGUUGGUUGGGUAAAGGCCUACCAAGGCGACGAUCAGUAGCUGGUCUGAGAGGACGACCAGCAACACUGGGACUGAGACACGGCACAGACUCCUACGGGAGGCAGCAGUGGGGAAUUUUGGACAAAGGGCGAAAGCCUGAUCCAGCAAUGCCGCGUGUGUGAAGAAGGCCUUCGGGUUGUAAAGCACUUUUGUCCGGAAAGAAAUCCUUGGCCCUAAUACGGUCGGGGGAUGACGGUACCGGAAGAAUAAGCACCGGCUAACUACGUG